Molecule: ribosomal RNA, 497 nt
Filed under: uncultured bacterium
Lineage: Bacteria
Description: partial 16S ribosomal RNA
Rfam family: Bacterial small subunit ribosomal RNA
Source: RNAcentral
GAUGAACGCUGGCGGCGUGCCUAAUACAUGCAAGUCGAGCGAACAGACGAGGAGCUUGCUCCUCUGACGUUAGCGGCGGACGGGUGAGUAACACGUGGAUAACCUACCUAUAAGACUGGGAUAACUUCGGGAAACCGGAGCUAAUACCGGAUAAUAUAUUGAACCGCAUGGUUCAAUAGUGAAAGACGGUUUUGCUGUCACUUAUAGAUGGAUCCGCGCCGCAUUAGCUAGUUGGUAAGGUAACGGCUUACCAAGGCGACGAUGCGUAGCCGACCUGAGAGGGUGAUCGGCCACACUGGAACUGAGACACGGUCCAGACUCCUACGGGAGGCAGCAGUAGGGAAUCUUCCGCAAUGGGCGAAAGCCUGACGGAGCAACGCCGCGUGAGUGAUGAAGGUCUUCGGAUCGUAAAACUCGGUUAUUAGGGAAGUACAAAUGUGUAAGUAACUAUGCACGUCUUGACGGUACCUAAUCAGAAAGCCACGGCUAACUACGUG